RNAcentral lists this transfer RNA (73 nucleotides) under Vulpes vulpes (red fox). It matches the Rfam family "tRNA". Rfam says of the family: Transfer RNA (tRNA) molecules are approximately 80 nucleotides in length. Their secondary structure includes four short double-helical elements and three loops (D, anti-codon, and T loops). Further hydrogen bonds mediate the characteristic L-shaped molecular structure. tRNAs have two regions of fundamental functional importance: the anti-codon, which is responsible for specific mRNA codon recognition, and the 3' end, to which the tRNAs corresponding amino acid is attached (by aminoacyl-tRNA synthetases). tRNAs cope with the degeneracy of the genetic code in two manners: having more than one tRNA (with a specific anti-codon) for a particular amino acid; and 'wobble' base-pairing, i.e. permitting non-standard base-pairing at the 3rd anti-codon position. Lineage: Eukaryota; Metazoa; Chordata; Mammalia; Carnivora; Canidae. RNAcentral also lists the same sequence under 1 other name. The record is from Rfam by way of RNAcentral.
GCCUGGCUGGCUCAGUUGGUAGAGCAUGUGACCCUCAAUCUCAGAGUCUUGAGUUCAAGUCCCACAUUGGGUG